RNAcentral lists this long non-coding RNA (895 nucleotides) under Eucalyptus grandis. Its description in RNAcentral is "long non-coding RNA (EGRA_LNC001041)". The record is from RNAcentral. Lineage: Eukaryota; Viridiplantae; Streptophyta; Magnoliopsida; Myrtales; Myrtaceae.
UCAUAUGCCUCCACAUGCAUAUAUAUUAUCAAAAAAUUAGACUUUUCAUGAUGUGCUUUUCUUAGUCCAAAACGUACGGCAUUGAUACCACUUAACCCCGCGUUAUCCCUCGGUUGCGUCUCUCUUUGCAUCUCCUUCUCCAACCAAACAAAAAGCUGUGCAGCAACAAAAGAAGCAGAGCAACAAUGGCAUCUCGCGAGAGAUCUCCAUCGACUUGGAAGUCUCUCUUGCUCCUCGCGGUUCUAACUUUAGCAGUCGCGACGGAGGGACGGUGUGCGAGAAUCGGGAAGGCUAGGAAUGGAGGAGGUUCUUGGAAAUACUUGUGGGAAAGCAAGCUCUCAAGGGGGCCGGUGCCUCCUUCCGGGCCUUCUAAGUGUCACCAUAAGCUCAGCCCAUUUCGCGGCAGCUCGGCCUCCUCCACAGCUGGCUAUGUUAACUGUCCCUAACUUUCUAUGUACAAACCUCUUCUUUGAAUACUUACUCUUGGUUUUGUUCUUCUUCUUCUUUUCAUGGUCGAUGUUCUUUGUUCUUUUGCAUCUUCCCAGCUGUGGAAGAGAAGCUUGUUCGUUCUUGUUUUCUUUUCUUUUCUGUUUUUGUUUUUCGCCUCAAGGUUUUGCACAUUCACAAACGGAUUCGUGCGCUGAGGUUUUGUAGGUAGACUGUAUUCAGAAUCAGAGUGCUUUAGAUGUUGCAACGAGAAACUCCUUACAACCCUGUUUCUUGGCCAAUUUUGUAUGUGAUUUCUUGCGCCCGUGUUUACUAGCUAUCCCUAACUGAAUAAAGCAUAGAGCUAUAUCUGUUUAUUGUGAGAACAUGAGUGCAAUUUUGUCAAAAGGUGUGUGUUAUUAGUAUUACAGCAUUCUCCAUGAACGAAUAAAGCAUAUAUGGACCGACU